RNAcentral lists this ribosomal RNA (373 nucleotides) under uncultured organism. RNAcentral's name for it is "partial 16S ribosomal RNA". It matches the Rfam family "Bacterial small subunit ribosomal RNA", at positions 526 to 896 of the family's 1533-position model. The record is from RNAcentral.
GUAGGUGGGCAAGCGUUGUCCGGAAUUAUUGGGCGUAAAGCGCGCGCAGGGCGGUCCUUUAAGUCUGAUGUGAAAGCCCACGGCUCAACCGUGGAGGGUCAUUGGAAACUGGGGGACUUGAGUACAGAAGAGGAAAGCGGAAUUCCAAGUGUAGCGGUGAAAUGCGUAGAGAUUUGGAGGAACACCAGUGGCGAAGGCGGCUUUCUGGUCUGUAACUGACGCUGAGGCGCGAAAGCGUGGGGAGCAAACAGGAUUAGAUACCCUGGUAGUCCACGCCGUAAACGAUGAGUGCUAAGUGUUAGGGGGUUUCCGCCCCUUAGUGCUGCAGCUAACGCAUUAAGCACUCCGCCUGGGGAGUACGGCCGCAAGGCUG